RNAcentral lists this ribosomal RNA (674 nucleotides) under uncultured Tomentella. RNAcentral describes it as "eukaryotic LSU rRNA". The stretch from base 254 to 408 matches the Rfam family "5.8S ribosomal RNA". The record is from RNAcentral. Lineage: Eukaryota; Fungi; Basidiomycota; Agaricomycetes; Thelephorales; Thelephoraceae.
AAGUAAAAGUCGUAACAAGGUUUCCGUAGGUGAACCUGCGGAAGGAUCAUUACCGAAUUGUCAACACGAGUUGUUGCUGGUCCUCAAAACGGGGGCAUGUGCACGCUCUGUUUACACAUCCACUUACACCUGUGCACCCUCUGUAGUUCUGUGGCGUGGGGGACUCUGUCCUCCUGCUGUGGUCCUACGUCUUUACACACACUCUGUAACAAAGUCUCAUGGAAUGCAUGACGCGUUUAACGCAAUACAAUACAACUUUCAGCAACGGAUCUCUUGGCUCUCGCAUCGAUGAAGAACGCAGCGAAAUGCGAUAAGUAAUGUGAAUUGCAGAAUUCAGUGAAUCAUCGAAUCUUUGAACGCACCUUGCGCCCUUUGGCUAUUCCGAAGGGCAUGCCUGUUUGAGUAUCAUGAACACCUCAACUCUCAUGGUUUGCCAUGAUGAGCUUGGACUUUGGAGGUCUUGCUGGCCUGCGGUCGGCUCCUCUCAAACGGAUCAGCUUGCCAGUGUUUGGUGGCAUCACGGGUGUGAUAACUAUCUACGCCUGUGGUUUUCUACCAGAUAACCUUCAGUGAUGGAGGUUCGCUGGAGCUCAUAAAUGUCUCUCCUCAGUGAAGACAGCUUUUUGAACNNNNGAUCUCAAAUCAGGUAGGACUACCCGCUGAACUUAAGCAUA